CGAAAUUCCUUGUCGGGUAAGUUCCGACCCGCACGAAAGGCGUAACGAUCAGGGCGCUGUCUCGGAGAGAGGCUCGGCGAAAUAGAAUUGUCUGUGAAGAUGCGGACUACAUACACCCGGACAGAAAGACCCUAUGAAGCUUUACUGUAGCUUGGUAUUGUGCCCGGGCUCUGAAUGCGCAGGAUAGGUGGGAGACGUUGAUCUAGUGCUCGUGGGUGCUAGGGAGUCAAUGGUGAGAUACCACUCUUUCAGAGCUAGGGUUCUAACGUUCACCCGUUAUCCGGGGAGCGGACAGUAUCAGGUGGGCAGUUUGACUGGGGCGGUCGCCUCCUAAAUGGUAACGGAGGCGCGCAAAGGUUCCCUCAGCACGCUUGGAAACCGUGCAUAGAGUGUAAAGGCAUAAAGGGAGCUUGACUGCAAGAGUUACAACUCAAGCAGGGACGAAAGUCGGCCUUAGUGAUCCGACGGCACUGAGUGGAAGGGCCGUCGCUCAACGGAUAAAAGGUACUCCGGGGAUA
This 518-nucleotide ribosomal RNA is filed under the name Ochromonas sp. CCMP1393. RNAcentral describes it as "partial Bacterial large subunit ribosomal RNA". It matches the Rfam family "Bacterial large subunit ribosomal RNA", at positions 1960 to 2476 of the family's 2925-position model. The record is from RNAcentral. Lineage: Eukaryota; Chrysophyceae; Chromulinales; Chromulinaceae.